CCUACGGGUGGCAGCAGUGAGGAAUAUUGGUCAAUGGCCGAGAGGCUGAACCAGCCAAGUCGCGUGAGGGAAGACGGCCCUACGGGUUGUAAACCUCUUUUGUCGGGGAGCACAGCGGACCACGUGUGGUUCAUUGAGAGUACCCGAAGAAAAAGCAUCGGCUAACUCCGUGCCAUCAGCCGCGGUAAUACGGGGGAUGCGAGCGUUAUCCGGAUUUAUUGGGUUUAAAGGGUGCGUAGGCGGAAUAUCAAGUCAGCGGUAAAAAUUCGGGGCUCAACCCCGUCGUGCCGUUGAAACUGAUGUUCUUGAGUGGGCGAGAAGUAUGCGGAAUGCGUGGUGUAGCGGUGAAAUGCAUAGAUAUCACGCAGAACUCCGAUUGCGAAGGCAGCAUACCGGCGCCCAACUGACGCUGAAGCACGAAAGCGUGGGUAUCGAACAGGAUUAGAUACCUGGUGU
Molecule: ribosomal RNA, 456 nt
Filed under: uncultured bacterium
Lineage: Bacteria
Description: partial 16S ribosomal RNA
Rfam family: Bacterial small subunit ribosomal RNA
Source: RNAcentral